CCUACGGGUGGCAGCAGUGGGGAAUAUUGGACAAUGGGCGAAAGCCUGAUCCAGCCAUGCCGCGUGUGUGAAGAAGGCCUUCGGGUUGUAAAGCACUUUCAGUGGGGAAGAAAGCCUUGGGGCUAAUACCCUCGAGGAAGGACAUCACCCACAGAAGAAGCACCGGCUAACUCCGUGCCAGCAGCCGCGGUAAUACGGAGGGUGCGAGCGUUAAUCGGAAUUACUGGGCGUAAAGCGCGCGUAGGCGGUCUGAUAAGCCGGUUGUGAAAGCCCCGGGCUCAACCUGGGAACGGCAUCCGGAACUGUCAGGCUAGAGUGCAGGAGAGGAAGGUAGAAUUCCCGGUGUAGCGGUGAAAUGCGUAGAGAUCGGGAGGAAUACCAGUGGCGAAGGCGGCCUUCUGGACUGACACUGACGCUGAGGUGCGAAAGCGUGGGUAGCAAACAGGAUUAGAUACCCGAGUCGUC
Molecule: ribosomal RNA, 465 nt
Filed under: Vreelandella stevensii
Lineage: Bacteria; Pseudomonadati; Pseudomonadota; Gammaproteobacteria; Oceanospirillales; Halomonadaceae
Description: partial 16S ribosomal RNA
Rfam family: Bacterial small subunit ribosomal RNA
Source: RNAcentral